This 304-nucleotide unclassified non-coding RNA is filed under the name Hevea brasiliensis (rubber tree). Lineage: Eukaryota; Viridiplantae; Streptophyta; Magnoliopsida; Malpighiales; Euphorbiaceae. The record is from RNAcentral.
UGAAAAUUCUGGUUGUAAUAAUUUUGAAGAAUCAACAAUCAAACCUUAGUGAAGGAUUAUCAUGGACUAAUACCUUGCAUGAUGGCUCUAGAAUUUUGUACCAUGUUUAUAACCUUCAAUUUCUUUACGCUAAACAGAUGAUUAAAUAGUUUAAUGAACAGUAAUGAGAAGCAAUUGGACUCUUUCUACCUUUAAAUAUUUUCUCCCAAUAGAAUGACAAUUUUAUUCAAUCCUCAACUCACCUUUCUCAUUUCAUUUGUCUGGAAGAUUCAUUCUACCACACUUCCUGAGCUUCUAUAUUGAA